Long non-coding RNA from Homo sapiens (human), 1101 nucleotides. The record is from Ensembl. Lineage: Eukaryota; Metazoa; Chordata; Mammalia; Primates; Hominidae.
UGUUCAAAUACCACCUCCGCUCACAGGUGCUGCCUGUCUGAAUUUAGGCUCCAGGCUUCUCAUCUUUUCAACGGAAGGGAUAAUAACGUUCACCUGCACAGUGCUCUUUUGAACAAGAAACAAGAUUACGUAUGCAAAUAUCUUAAGUGCCAUUACUUUUAAACAAAUGGAGUUUGUUAAUUUUAUUAUUUCUACUUUUAUUAUUCCCCAAGUCAUUAUUUGAACACCUAGAAUGGUGCUUGGCAAAUAGUAGUCACACAAUACAUAUUUGUAGAACAGAUCUUUGAACAAAUACAUAGUAAAAUGAAUGAAUUAAUGAAUACCAAAUUACUGUGAAAAACGUUCAGACCGAAGAAAAAUUUGCUGAAAAGGAACCAGCUUCCCUUUCGUGUCUCUCCCAGCUCAGGCAAGCAGCCCACAAGGGGGCGCUCCCUGAGCCUUCUAGAGGCAGAGCGGCCUGUUGGGAAAGGUCUGAGGGUGUCAGUGGGAACUGCCUGCUUUGCUGAGGAAGCAAAGGCUUGUGUGGGAAGGAAGAUCACAGCUGGUCCGCAGCCUCAAAGAGCAGGAAGCAGGACAGAAGGAGCCCCUCGGUGUACCCUGCAGCCCCCAGCCAGGGAGAAGCAGCAGGAGACAGAGCUACUUCCUCUAACCAGUGGUGGUUCCUAACUCCAAGACAUCCUGGACAUUGGUUCUGAGCAGCAAUCAUUGCAAUUUGCUCUUUUCUGCAGCCGUGAAACUACCAGGAUAAAGUAAUCAGAGUGAUCCCAUGAUGUGCUGGGGCAAACUAAACAUUUCUCGUCAAAAUAAUGGUCAGUUUCCUACUGAAUGCUACAUGAUAAGUGCAGUAUGUUUGAUUAUGACAUCAGUGAGUUUGCUACUUAGAGGAUAUUUAUGGGUGAUACAUUGAAAUUUACCUUUGACCAUCUGUUUUGGCAGAAGGUGUCUCUCCAAUAUCCAAAACUUGGAUAAUCCACAUUAAAACUAAUUUUAUUGUGGCUAAUUUUUGUUAAAUGUUAUUAAAAAUAAUAAUCACAUUGUAUUUAUUAAAUAUUUGUUAAAUUUUAUAGAAUUUAUUAAAUUUUGUUGAUCACCACUAAAAGA